RNAcentral lists this ribosomal RNA (575 nucleotides) under uncultured bacterium. RNAcentral describes it as "partial 16S ribosomal RNA". It matches the Rfam family "Bacterial small subunit ribosomal RNA", at positions 355 to 924 of the family's 1533-position model. The record is from RNAcentral.
CUAAGAAUAUUCCGCAAUGGACGGAAGUCUGACGGAGCGACGCCGCGUGGAUGACGAAGGCCGAAAGGUUGUAAAGUUCUUUUGCUGGGGAAGAAUAACCGCAGGAGGGAAUGCCUGUGGGAUGACAAGAACCGGCGAAUAAGCCCCGGCCAACUACGUGCCAGCAGCCGCGGUAACACGUAGGGGGGCGAGCGUUGUUCGGAAUUACUGGGCGUAAAGGGCAUGUAGGCGGCUUGGAAAGCCUGGCGUGAAAGUCUGCAGCUUAACUGCAGGGGUGCGCUGGGAACUGCUGAGCUUGAGUGACGGAGAGGGAGCUGGAAUUCCUGGUGUAGGGGUGAAAUCUGUAGAUAUCAGGAAGAACACCGAUGGCGAAGGCAAGCUCCUGGCCGAUGACUGACGCUGAGGUGCGAAAGUGUGGGGAUCAAACAGGAUUAGAUACCCUGGUAGUCCACACAGUCAACGAUGUGCACUAGGUGCUGGGGCGGUAGCUUCGGUGCCGGAGCGAACGUGGUGAAGUGCACCGCCUGGGGAGUAUGCUCGCAAGGGUGAAACUUAAAUGAUUGACGGGGUCUAGC